AGAAUCAACGCUGGCGGCGUGCCUAACACAUGCAAGUCGCACGAGAAAGCGGACUUCGGUCUGUGAGUAAAGUGGCGCACGGGUGAGUAACACGUGAAUAAUCUACCUUCGAGUGGGGAAUAACUGAGAGAAAUCUUAGCUAAUACCGCAUAACACUUACGAGUCAAAGCAGCAAUGCGCUUGAAGAGGAGUUCGCGGCAGAUUAGUUAGUUGGCGGGGUAAUGGCCCACCAAGGCGAUGAUCUGUAUCCGGCCUGAGAGGGCGCACGGACACACUGGAACUGAAACACGGUCCAGACUCCUACGGGAGGCAGCAGUGGGGAAUUUUGCGCAAUGGGGAAACCCUGACGCAGCAACGCCGCGUGGAGGAUGAAAUCCCUUGGGAUGUAAACUCCUUUCGAUCGGGAAGAUAAUGACGGUACCGAGAGAAGAGCCCGGCUAACUUCGCGCCAGCAGCCGCGGUAA
This 464-nucleotide ribosomal RNA is filed under the name uncultured bacterium. RNAcentral describes it as "SSU rRNA". It matches the Rfam family "Bacterial small subunit ribosomal RNA", at positions 26 to 523 of the family's 1533-position model. The record is from RNAcentral.